UAGGUGACUGAUGGUAAAGAGAAGAAGAACCCUUAGGAAGACCUGUUGCAGUGCCUCCUGUGGACCACAAAAUGGCAGGGAAAGAAAGAACUUCAGAUUUGAAAAAAAUUAGUUUUGCCUGUCAUCCAAAUGUUUUCUCAAAGAUGCUGAAAAGUACAAGGCUAGACUUUUUCUCUGAACAUCACCAGUUCAGUGGCGGUGAGGAAGGUUUGAGAAGACCGGGUUGGCUUUCACAGGGUUAUUGUGACCAGCAGCAAUGUGACAAAGAGAGAUUUCAGAAAG
RNAcentral lists this long non-coding RNA (282 nucleotides) under Dromaius novaehollandiae (emu). Its description in RNAcentral is "lncRNA (ENSDNVG00000010090.1)". Lineage: Eukaryota; Metazoa; Chordata; Aves; Casuariiformes; Dromaiidae. The record is from RNAcentral.